Molecule: ribosomal RNA, 207 nt
Filed under: uncultured bacterium
Lineage: Bacteria
Description: partial 16S ribosomal RNA
Rfam family: Bacterial small subunit ribosomal RNA
Source: RNAcentral
UACAGAGGUCCCGAGCGUUUGUUCGGAUUCAUUGGGCGUAAAGGGUGCGUAGGCGGCCGUGCAAGUCGGGUGUGAAAGCCCUCGGCUCAACCGAGGAAGUGCGCCCGAAACUGCAUGGCUUGAGUACCGGAGAGGUGGCGGAAUUCCCCAAGUAGAGGGUGAAAAUUCGUAGAUAUGGGGAGGAACACCGGUGGCGAAGGCGGCCAC